CUACGGGACGCUCCAGUGGGGAAUAUUGCACAAUGGAGGAAACUCUGAUGCAGCAACGCCGCGUGGAGGAUGACACUUUUCGGAGCGUAAACUCCUUUUAUAUAGGAAGAAGAUGACGGUACUAUAUGAAUAAGCGCCGGCUAACUCCGUGCCAGCAGCCGCGGUAAUACGGAGGGCGCAAGCGUUACUCGGAAUCACUGGGCAGUAAAGAGCGUGUAGGCGGAUUAAAAAGUCAGAAGUGAAAUACUAUAGCUUAACUAUAGAACUGCUUCUGAAACUCUUAAUCUAGAAUAUGGGAGAGGUAGAUGGAAUUUCUGGUGUAGGGGUAAAAUCCGUAGAGAUCAGAAGGAAUACCGAUUGCGAAGGCGAUCUACUAGAACAUUAUUGACGCUGAGACGCGAAAGCGUGGGGAGCAAACAGGAUUAGAUACCCUGGUAGUC
Molecule: ribosomal RNA, 440 nt
Filed under: uncultured bacterium
Lineage: Bacteria
Description: partial 16S ribosomal RNA
Rfam family: Bacterial small subunit ribosomal RNA
Source: RNAcentral